GACUUUCUAUAACGUAUUCUUCACUAUAUGUACAGCAACAAAAAGAAUUGGAGUAUGAAAACUUGUAAUUUACUUUUCUUGACGUUUUUAACUUCUUGACAUAGAAUAUUGUUAAUGGUUUGAAAGCAUUAGCCAAAGAAAGCACGGGAUUAACCAGUGCGUCUCAUGGACAACUUUGAACAUGUCUCGUGUGGUGCCCUGGUAGUUAGUUCUCACUCACGUAAAUUACUUUGUUUGACACGUGGUCCUUCCUACAAAGCCCUGUUGGCUUUGGCAGCUCCUGAGAUGAUGUAUUUCAGUCCCUGGUGGGGGUAGCGUUAGUUACAAGACCUACUGAGGAGGAAAUCGUGUUCUAAUAAAUUUCCAACACAAGGGUUGCCGUAGAGCCUCUACCUCUGUCGGCAUUUGCUACAUUGUGUCCUAAUACAGUGUUGUUCCAAAGGCUUUCUUACUGGUGGGAUUCUCAGAAAUUGAGCCCAUUCUCGCUUACCGUGCCUGUGGAAUUGUUAGGUCCCCAGUUCAGCUCGAGAAAAGCCCUGUCACAGCUGUUUUGCAGCUUUACUUUGAGACCCGUUGAUUAAAAACAGUGAUUUCCCCACGUGUGAUCCCACGACAUUGCCCUGUGACUCACGACAAGUCGAAGCCUGCCGGCUGCGGCUGGAGUUUCCCUGAGGCGCUCACUAGUGGCACCUGUUCACGGACCUUGAGAGGAUAACUGUUUAACCGAAAAGUCAAAGGAAUUUUAAAUCAGAAUUUUCCUGAUCACAGGUUGUUGGUUGAAACACCUGCUUCCCUCUAUUUGUACUCCUGAAAUAAAGCCAAUUAUAUCACUUUUCAACAGAAGAGGAAACGCUAUAAUAUGAUGCUGUGAGCUCCCCCCCACCACCAUUUAGGUAUUCUGUGCCACUACUCCAGGUAAACAUCCUCAUUAAUUUUUUAACCUGGUCACUAAUGAGUAUCAGUGAAUUUGAAAGAGUGCAUUUCAUAAUUACUUAAACAUCAGUAUAUUUUACACUAAGAAGCAGAACUUGGUGAGCACUUGAAUAUAAAAUUCCCUGCGUCAUGGGGCACGAAGUGUAAAUUAAAUAAGCUGGACGUUUGCUUUUCGCAACGGAAGUAGAAACAAGGAUGAGCCCUGCCGAUGACACCAGAAUUGCCAACGUUGAGUCCUCAGCGUAAGCAAGGACCGCUUUCACUCCUUUCACUCCUAGGGGAGAGGAAAGCAAAGAGGCUUCCUGGUGUCCGUGAAGCUGCCAGGGGCAGAUGGCGUACAGUGCGUAUUCCCUGUGGUAUUAGCACAGUGACCAGCUCCUAACCCAAGGGGAAGUUUGAGAUUCCCUUGGGCACUCAGGGGAAGAAGACAUCAAGGUGUUGUCAAAGCCUUGGAUGCCUUCCUUUAGCAAGUAGCAUCACCCAGCUGUCCGCGCGAGACUACACUGCCCACUGGUGGUACAGGAUCGAGCAGGACAGCCGCAUCCGUGCCAUCACUCUCACCUUGUACAGAGUUCAGAAAACUGAUUUGUAUUUGUGAUCAUUUCAGUGAUGGAAAGAUAGACCCUGUAGAGUCUCUUGUAUCCCAGAUGUUCUCUGACCAUGAGAGAGCCCCAUUGUGUGCUUUCUUUCAGAGGCUGUGAUGACAGCCUAGGAGGUGUGGGUCUCCCUUGGAUUGAGCCUGAUUUUCCCAGAAACCUAUAUGAUCGACCAUUUAGGUGUGACUAGAGUACCUAAGGAGUAAACAAAGAUACAGAAGCUUCUGCUUCCGUGGAAUUCUCUGUUUAGAAAUGUCUUUGCAUCUUGUUUCUCUUUAAGAACACAUAAUCCGCAAGCAAGGAAAUAAUACCAGGUAUUCACGCUGUAAGUGUCAGGCUAUGAGAGAUAUUCAUGCUGCAGGUGUCAGGCUAUGAGAGAUAUUCAUGCUGUAGGUGUCAGGCUAUGAGAGAUAUUCACGCUGUAGGUGUCAGGCUAUGAGAGAUAUUCAUGCUGUAAGUAUCAGGCUAUGAGAGAUAUUCAUGCUGUAGGUGUCAGGCUAUGAGAGAUAUUCACACUGUAGGUGUCAGGCUAUGAGAGAUAUUCAUGCUGUAGGUGUCAGGCUAUGAGAGAUAUUCACGCUGUAGGUGUCAGGCUAUGAGAGAUAUUCAUGCUGUAAGUGUCAGGCUAUGAGAGAUAUUCACGCUGCAAGUGUCAGGCUAUGAGAGAUAUUCAUGCUGUAAGUGUCAGGCUUGAGAUGAGAGUUGGGUUUGAAAGAGUGAAGAAACGUGAUAUUGUGAUGAUGUCCCAAAAGUGUUUGAUGUUUAUCUCCACUCAUGACUAUUUAUAGAAUUUUUUUUUUCUAUUAGAAACAUUUUUUUUUCCUAUUAGAAUUUGAGUGUUCUUGCUGGAGUCUGAAUCAUUCCUUCCAGCUUUGUUGGUAUUAAUAAUAGAUUAGAGGGCUUCCCUGGUGGCGCAGUGGUAGAGAGUCCGCCUGCCGAUGCAGGGGACACGGAUUCGUGCCCCGGUCCGGGAAGAUCCCACAUGCCGCGGAGCAGCUGGGCCCGUGAGCCAUGGCCGCUGAGCCUGCGCGUCCGGAGCCUGUGCUCCGCGACGUGAGAGGCCACAACAAUGAGAGGCCCGCGUACCGCAAAAAAAAAAAAAAAAAAAAAGAAAA
Molecule: long non-coding RNA, 2644 nt
Organism: Orcinus orca (killer whale)
Lineage: Eukaryota; Metazoa; Chordata; Mammalia; Artiodactyla; Delphinidae
Exons: 2
Source: RefSeq, a predicted model, not a curated record